This is an RNA transcript of Magnolia sinica, 658 nucleotides long. RefSeq lists it as uncharacterized. The record is from RefSeq and is a predicted model, not a curated record. The transcript has 3 exons. NCBI's taxonomy places the organism in Eukaryota, Viridiplantae, Streptophyta, Magnoliopsida, Magnoliales, Magnoliaceae.
CUACACUAAAAGAGUUGGACUUGAGAAAUUAGAAUACGAGAGAGAGAGAGAGAGAUAGAGAGAGAGAGAGAUGGCAAGUUCGGCGAGAUGGGGCUAUAUCAGGAUCAUAACAGGUACGAUCCUGGGGGGCGUCCUCGGCUUCUACGUUAUGCACCAGCUCGAAACCAGCUACAAGGAGAAGAUGAAGGAGAGGCUACUCGAAUAUGAAAUGGAAAAGAGGAAGAGAGAGCUUCUAGAAGAUCCCUCUUCCCCUCCUCCACAAUCUCUUCCCGAUUCUUGAGUUGUUGUCAUCUUUUUUGUCUUUUCUUUUCUUUUUCUUUUUCUUUUAAAUUUUUUUUUUUUUCUCAUGUUCUGAGGGAAUAGUUUGAUGAUGCUGCAGUUCCACAGUCUAGUCAAAUUGAAAUCUGAGAAGGCUGUCACUAUUGGGAAAAGGCAAGUGGAUGAAGUCUUUUAGGCACUCAGUUUCUCCCAUGUGUAUUUUAAAUUCAAGAGCAGUCUCCCAUGUGUAUUUUAACUUCAAUAGCAGAGUAUGGAAUCAUGUUUCCGGGCAGUUUAUGGUAUGCAUUCCUUCUGUGUGAAGAUUAAUGGAGAUUUUUUAUUUUUUAUUUUUGUUCUUCAGGGGACUUCUUUUUAAUGCUCAUGAGUCACUUUUCUGUUA